UUUUCGAUCAAACUCUCUCAUUUGGCUAAUGUCAAGCAAUACUUGUAUCAGCUCGGGAAAUCUUACUUGCCGAUUACGGACGUGAAUACCGUUCGAUUCUGUUCGUCGUGUGAUUGUCCAUCAUGAAUAGAGUUCUUCUAUAAAAAACGGCCCAAUAUUCUGUAAUAUUAAACCAAUUGGUUUCGAAAUAAUGCCCAAGUCCGUCGUACGUGCCGUCGUCGUCAUCUUCAUCUAAAAAAUUCCUUUUUUAAAAUAAAGAUUUCCGAUCCAGCGUAGACGGCUUCUUUGAACUGUUGGUAUAUCUCUUCCCGGAGAUUCCGGCUUAACUUGUCUUGGACGAGACGUUUGUCAACAGCAGCCAACGCGUGGAAAAGGCACAAUUUCAAAGACGCUGAGGUGAAAAUGCGUUCUACGGCCUUCAUCUCUU
This is a long non-coding RNA of Daphnia magna, 427 nucleotides long. RefSeq lists it as uncharacterized. The transcript is spliced from 3 exons. The record is from RefSeq and is a predicted model, not a curated record. NCBI's taxonomy places the organism in Eukaryota, Metazoa, Arthropoda, Branchiopoda, Diplostraca, Daphniidae.